Molecule: long non-coding RNA, 1175 nt
Filed under: Prunus persica (peach)
Lineage: Eukaryota; Viridiplantae; Streptophyta; Magnoliopsida; Rosales; Rosaceae
Description: long non-coding RNA (PPER_LNC003162)
Source: RNAcentral
UGAGGUCUGGGGGUCUACAGGGGCCGUCGUCUGGUGGGGAUGCUCAGGAUGGACGGGCUCAGAGGUCGGCGCAUCAAAAUGCGGGACUGGAAUGCCGGACUAUGCGAGGGACUGCAGAAUGACCGACAUCUAACUCUGAAAAGUGGCCGCCUGGGUUGUCAAAGCAGUGACCUGACUGUUUGACUGCGCUGAUGAACGGGGUCUGGGUUCCCUCCGCCUGGCAUUCCCCAUCCCUCGACAAUAUGUCCCCGGUCUCCUCCCGAGAGUCUGAUCCAAUGUCUCCGUCAAGAUCUAAAACUCAGCAUCCUAUGGAGGAUCCACAGACUCGAUCGGAGUAUCGAGAGGAAGUUGGGAGGCAGACUCCUGAAGAACUCCUCUCCACCAUCGUCGUCUGUUUAGCAUAACAUAAAAUAUAAAUUAAAGCAUUCAUAUAAUAACCUUUAAACUUGAAUGCGUAACAUAAUAAUUAAAAUUAAAUAAUACUAACAUGAAGGGCCAACUCAUUCCCAGGUAGAACAUAAACGUCGCCAAAGACGUCGAUCUCUGGGAAUUUGGACCCCCCCUAAAUUGAACAAGAGAAGAAAAAUAUUAGUACGAAAAAAUAAAUUAAGAAUAAUUAAAUAUUAAAAAUUAAAUAAAAAUUAUUUUAUUAUUACCUACCGCCGUGCAUCCAUCCUAUAGGAGAAAGGCCUGGAACCCGAAUGAUGGAGAAGAGUCUUCUUCUUCCUAUUGCCCUUAUUGACUUUGACUUUAUUCUGUUAUACAAAAAAUAAAACGUAUUAGUUGAAAUUGAAAUUAAAUAUAAAACAUUAAAAAAACAUUAGUAAGAAAAAUAUAAUAAAUUUGAAAUUCAUAUUACAAAUUACCACAAAAGCGGGCGCCUGAAAAUGAGCGCAGAGCCACGCCUAACUAUCCUCCAGCCCCUCAAGCUCCUUCGGGCAACCCUCCUGAAGAGCGACUUCGGAAUCAUCGAACGCCUCAAAAUGGUGGUGCAAGUCGCUCUUCCAUUGUUUGUACCUCUCAGAGAAGAGUCUGUUGACAUACGCCAACGACUCGUCGUCGAGGUCCUCCAAGUUGUAGUUCGUCUGCAAUAAAUUAAUUAAAUACAUUUAAAUAAUAGAAAUAUAAAAUUUGAAAGAAAAAGAAUUAAAAGGCCUACAUACCGACAACUGGCC